Molecule: long non-coding RNA, 3301 nt
Organism: Triticum aestivum (bread wheat)
Lineage: Eukaryota; Viridiplantae; Streptophyta; Magnoliopsida; Poales; Poaceae
Exons: 3
Source: RefSeq, a predicted model, not a curated record
GAACCUCUGCCUCGCUAGCGCAGUUAAUUUGUCCAUCCCUCUCGCGAUAAAGACCCUCUGUUGGAGUCGAACAGGAAUCCCACGCCGCCUUCCCUAACCUCUUCCAUAAAUAUCGGCUCAGGCAGAGAGAGGAGGGGAUCCAUGGAGGCAGGGGAGCAUCCAAAUCGUUGCGGGUCGAGGUGACACAAAGGCCAAUGAAACCGAUCACGCGGCCUUUCUCAUACAGUUGGGGCCUGCUUGCUGAUCGAGCUAACCUGAUGACUUGCGCGGAAUCGUGGCGCCACCAAUCUGGCCGGUGUUGGGCGGCGGCUUUGCUAAUCGAGCCCAUCUAUUGACAUGCAUGGGAUUCAUGGCCGAUGUCGACGACGUUCGAUCUGCUAGACGUGCUCCGGCAGUCUGGCGCCAUCGAUGUCAUCGACGUCUGACUCGCCCGAUGCGCUCCAGAUUGUCUUCGCCAACCACAACCCACGGGGGUUAGACUCUAGAGGCCUGCACCUUCGCAAUGUGCAGCCACGCGGCUUGCGGAGCCCCCUCCUCCUUUGUCCUCUCCCAUCAAGCGCCGGCUCCCCCACCUCCAUCUCGCGAGCCAUCCCCGGCUCCUACCGACCCCGCAACUUCAUCGCCGCUGCCGCCAUGAAUCAGCCAGUGCAGAAGAACACCCUCUACGUAGGUACGCGGUAGCACCAUCCUCCCUCACCAACCUCUUCUCCGUCGCCGCUAUCCUCGCUCGGUCGCUCGCCAGCUGUUCGACGAAAUUCCUCUGCGAGAUGCGCAUGGUGGACUGGCGGAGGAGGUGGACGAGAAGAUCCUGCAUGCGGCAUUCGUGUUGUUCGGGGAGGUCAAGGACGUCAAGACGCCGCUCGACCAGGCCACACAGAAGCACCGCUCCUUCAGGUUCGUCACGUUCCUGGAGCGCGAGGACGCCGCCGCCGCCAUGGGCAACAUGGAUGGCGCCGAGCUCUUUGGUUGCAUCCUCACCGUGAACUACGUGUCUACGCCUUCCCCGAGGAAAUCAAGGGAGUGGAGCAGGGAUAGGCCGCGCUGCCAGGUAUGUCCGGCGUCCCAUGCUUCUCCUCAGUUCAACUACGUUACGCCCUGCUUUCGUGCUUGCCUCCCUGGUUGCUUGACACUAGGGUUAGGGCUGCCAAAUGUUUUUCUUACGUGGUAUGAAGUUGGAAGAUUAAGGGCGAGGAAUUUUUAGGACGCGAUUAGACCAAGCCUAGACGUUGAUAUGGUGUUAAUGUCUGUGAAUUAUGCUAUUGUAUUGUGGUUUGUCUUUAUGUUCUCCUUAUAAGGAUUUUCUCCAGCUCAAAUUCGUAGAAAAAUGAAUUGUCCAUGUACAUUAAGUUUUUGUGCUGAGUCAAGGAGCAAAGUCAGCCACCGCCUCCCGGUCGUGCGAGAGUGUGGACGAGCUGACUGGGGAUGAGACUUGGAGAACAAGAGCAUGGGAAGCCAGGCCUUAGGAGCAAGGGCCGAUGGGCGGCACGAUGACCUCGACAGUGUAGCGGCGCAUGCUGGUUCUACAGGUUACUCUCUCUCCCUUGCUCUCUCUGCCUCGAUCCCAAUCUUACCUCUACUCGCUGUACCAUGCACAUCAUGAAGACCGACUGGUUAUGGAGGUGACUGUCCCAUCCAUGACAAGCAUAGAGCACGCACGAACUGAAACAGAGCACUGGUGUUAAGUUAGACCAGAGGAGCACACACACGGUCAGGUUUCAGGAACCACUGCUUCAUAUUUUUUCUUUUUUAACUGAGUGCUGGUUAAAUAAGCACAACCCUCUUAUUACAUUUUAAGUUCAACUCCACACCAGCAAUAACGGCUUGUAAUGAGCUAGAUUGGCUAAGACUAGACAUUAUGGAUUUGGUAGUGUAUAUACUAUAUAAUGGAAAAUGGUAGCAUAGUCUUUGUAUGCUUCUUUUUUGAAUCGACAACACUCUACAGUCUUGAUGCUUAACUGUUGCUUUGAAAUAUUUGGAUCGCAUAUUAAACUAGAGUUUCAGUGUUAAACACUAGACAACAAGGUCACUUUGCUGCAAGCUAACCGUUUACAUGAGGCUUCAGCGAUUUGGAUUCUAGCUUUGAUGUUUACAUGAGACUAUUUUCGAGUUUACCUGAUCCAAUAUUUGCUGAUUGUAGACUUGUAGCGUGUGCCAAUGAAGUCAGAUGACUUUUCUCAAUGGGAAAUUUGGAUGUUGUGUGUUAUCUGUUGUUUCUUCAUAGACACAGCUAAAUUUCACAUUAUCUUCAUUGUAUAGCUAAUCCUCUGCCCCUCUGUAUUAAGCCUAGAAUCUGAAUAUUUUGUACUUUGACAGUUUAGUAUAUACCAUCUUCUUAGAUUUCUUCUAUUAACGUUAAUAGAGUGUAUAAUUGUUUCCUAAUCAGAAUUAAGAAAUGUUCCCAGCCAAAAUAAUUAAGCCCGUAUGAAAUACUUUAGUUGUACAACAACUGAAUUGCAUUAUUUCUAUUUUAUACAGCAGCCAGGACCCAGAUUAGUGAUGUUUAUAUGUACAGAAAACCGUAUCAGAUUUUCAUGACAAUAUGUAUGAUCUCUACUUGUAAAGACUGGUACUUUAAGCCUAGAGUGACCCUUUUGGAAAAUAUAAAGAAAUUUUCAGCUUAGAAUGACCCAACAAUUUCCAGUUUACUUUUAAGCUUAGAAUGACCCAAUGAAGUGUACUUUGCAUCAUACAAAAGGAAAUUGUUGUGUACUUGGUAUGUACUUGCAAAAUAUAACUAACACAUACUCCCUCCGUUUCAAAUUUUUUGUCUUAGAUUUGUCUAAAUACAGAUGUAUCAAGUAAACCACGUCUAAAGUUUGGAUCUGUACAUAAUAUUUUGGUCUACUGAGUCUGGUUAUAUUAACUUGGCCGGUGGUCGUUGCUUCCUGUUUUAGCUAUUUGUACACCGAUUUGAGUACACACAAUUAUUUCUGGCAAUUAUUCUACUGGGACAGAUGAGGCCGCCAAAAUCCCAUGCCUCGCUCAAUGUGUGAAUGGCCCCUCAAGAUAAUUUGCACCAAGUACUUCAGUCCUAUAAUUUUGGAUGUCAGGCGGCUUUCUCGAUCUUGGCCUUGAAGUUAGGAUGAUGUGCGACCGGCUUGAAAGGAGCUGGAGUGCUACCAAACAACCCGAAAGUCGGUGAUGUCUCCGUAGUUCUUGUACACAUAUUGUCACUGGUUUCCAUCACUUUUCUUUCCCAUAAAGACACCAAAUUCCAUGGGCACCAUGAUGAUCACUAGAAAAUGACUAUGUACAUAUUAAAUCUACAUGCAAUUGAUGCCCUGUUUAAACACAAAAUCAA